UGGGGAAUAUUGGACAAUGGGCGCAAGCCUGAUCCAGCCAUGCCGCGUGAGUGAUGAAGGCCCUAGGGUUGUAAAGCUCUUUCACCGGUGAAGAUAAUGACGGUAACCGGAGAAGAAGCCCCGGCUAACUUCGUGCCAGCAGCCGCGGUAAUACGAAGGGGGCUAGCGUUGUUCGGAUUUACUGGGCGUAAAGCGCACGUAGGCGGACUAUUAAGUCAGGGGUGUAAUCCCGGGGCUCAACCCCGGAACUGCCUUUGAUACUGGUAGUCUUGAGUUCGAGAGAGGUGAGUGGAAUUCCGAGUGUAGAGGUGAAAUUCGUAGAUAUUCGGAGGAACACCAGUGGCGAAGGCGGCUCACUGGCUCGAUACUGACGCUGAGGUGCGAAAGCGUGGGGAGCAAACAGG
RNAcentral lists this ribosomal RNA (404 nucleotides) under Actinomycetes bacterium. RNAcentral describes it as "Actinobacteria bacterium partial 16S ribosomal RNA". It matches the Rfam family "Bacterial small subunit ribosomal RNA", at positions 355 to 776 of the family's 1533-position model. Lineage: Bacteria; Bacillati; Actinomycetota; Actinomycetes. The record is from RNAcentral.